RNAcentral lists this ribosomal RNA (441 nucleotides) under uncultured bacterium. Its description in RNAcentral is "bacterial SSU rRNA". It matches the Rfam family "Bacterial small subunit ribosomal RNA", at positions 340 to 774 of the family's 1533-position model. The record is from RNAcentral.
UACGGGAGGCAGCAGUGGGGAAUAUUGCACAAUGGGCGCAAGCCUGAUGCAGCCAUGCCGCGUGUAUGAAGAAGGCCUUCGGGUUGUAAAGUACUUUCAGUCGUGAGGAAGGUGUUAAGGUUAAUAACCUUAGCAAUUGACGUUAGCGACAGAAGAAGCACCGGCUAACUCCGUGCCAGCAGCCGCGGUAAUACGGAGGGUGCGAGCGUUAAUCGGAAUUACUGGGCGUAAAGGGCACGCAGGCGGUUAAUUAAGUUGGAUGUGAAAUCCCCGGGCUUAACCUGGGAAUGGCAUUCAAGACUGGUUAGCUAGAGUCUUGUAGAGGGGGUAGAAUUCCAUGUGUAGCGGUGAAAUGCGUAGAGAUGUGGAGGAAUACCGGUGGCGAAGGCGGCCCCUGGACAAAGACUGACGCUCAGUGUGCGAAAGCGUGGGGAGCAAAAC